RNAcentral lists this ribosomal RNA (381 nucleotides) under uncultured marine Chaetocerotaceae. RNAcentral's name for it is "SSU rRNA". It matches the Rfam family "Eukaryotic small subunit ribosomal RNA", at positions 587 to 972 of the family's 1831-position model. The record is from RNAcentral. Lineage: Eukaryota; Bacillariophyta; Thalassiosirophyceae; Chaetocerotales; Chaetocerotaceae.
AGCUCCAAUAGCGUAUAUUAAAGUUGCUGCAGUUAAAAAGCUCGUAGUUGCAUUUCCGAGGCAAGGGAUUAGUCCGACCUUUGGUGGGUAUUUAAUCCUCUUGCCUCGUCCUUGAGUGGUGCUUCUUGGUAUUAAGUUAUCGAGGAGAUAGCCGCUCAUCGUUUACUGUGAGAAAAUUAGAGUGUUCAAAGCAGGCUUAUGCCGUUGAAUAUAUUAGCAUGGAAUAAUAAGAUAGGACCUCGGUACUAUUUUGUUGGUUUGAGAACCAAGGUAAUGAUGAAUAGGGACAGUUGGGGGUAUUCGUAUUCAGUUGUCAGAGGUGAAAUUCUUAGAUUUACGGAAGACGAACGACUGCGAAAGCAUUUACCAAGGAUGUUGUCA